Molecule: ribosomal RNA, 1456 nt
Filed under: Cyanobium sp. JJ7-9
Lineage: Bacteria; Bacillati; Cyanobacteriota; Cyanophyceae; Synechococcales; Prochlorococcaceae
Description: 16S ribosomal RNA
Rfam family: Bacterial small subunit ribosomal RNA
Source: RNAcentral
GAUGAACGCUGGCGGCGUGCUUAACACAUGCAAGUCGAACGAACCUUCGGGUUAGUGGCGGACGGGUGAGUAACGCGUGGGAAUCUGCCCUCAGGAGGGGGAUAACGGCCGGAAACGGCCGCUAAUACCCCAUAUGCCGAGAGGUGAAAUGAAUUUCGCCUGAGGAUGAGCCCGCGUCUGAUUAGCUAGUUGGUGGGGUAAUGGCCCACCAAGGCGACGAUCAGUAGCUGGUCUGAGAGGAUGAUCAGCCACACUGGGACUGAGACACGGCCCAGACUCCUACGGGAGGCAGCAGUGGGGAAUUUUCCGCAAUGGGCGAAAGCCUGACGGAGCAACGCCGCGUGAGGGAUGAAGGCCUCUGGGCUGUAAACCUCUUUUCUCAAGGAAGAAGACAUGACGGUACUUGAGGAAUAAGCCACGGCUAAUUCCGUGCCAGCAGCCGCGGUAAUACGGGAGUGGCAAGCGUUAUCCGGAAUUAUUGGGCGUAAAGCGUCCGCAGGCGGCCUUGUAAGUCUGUCGUUAAAGCGUGGAGCUUAACUCCAUUUAAGCGAUGGAAACUACAAGGCUUGAGUGUGGUAGGGGCAGAGGGAAUUCCCGGUGUAGCGGUGAAAUGCGUAGAUAUCGGGAAGAACACCAGUGGCGAAGGCGCUCUGCUGGGCCAUAACUGACGCUCAUGGACGAAAGCCAGGGGAGCGAAAGGGAUUAGAUACCCCUGUAGUCCUGGCCGUAAACGAUGAACACUAGGUGUCGGGGGAAUCGACCCCCUCGGUGUCGUAGCUAACGCGUUAAGUGUUCCGCCUGGGGAGUACGCACGCAAGUGUGAAACUCAAAGGAAUUGACGGGGGCCCGCACAAGCGGUGGAGUAUGUGGUUUAAUUCGAUGCAACGCGAAGAACCUUACCAGGGUUUGACAUCCUGCGAUUCCCUUGGAAACGAGGGAGUGCCUUCGGGAGCGCAGAGACAGGUGGUGCAUGGCUGUCGUCAGCUCGUGUCGUGAGAUGUUGGGUUAAGUCCCGCAACGAGCGCAACCCACGUCUUUAGUUGCCAGCAUUCAGUUGGGCACUCUAGAGAGACCGCCGGUGAUAAACCGGAGGAAGGUGUGGAUGACGUCAAGUCAUCAUGCCCCUUACAUCCUGGGCUACACACGUACUACAAUGCUACGGACAAAGGGUUGCAAGCUCGCGAGAGUUAGCUAAUCCCAUAAACCGUGGCUCAGUUCAGAUCGUAGGCUGCAACUCGCCUACGUGAAGGAGGAAUCGCUAGUAAUCGCAGGUCAGCAUACUGCGGUGAAUACGUUCCCGGGCCUUGUACACACCGCCCGUCACACCAUGGAAGUUGGCCAUGCCCGAAGUCGUUACUCCAACCCUUGUGGAGGAGGACGCCGAAGGUGGGGCUGAUGACUGGGGUGAAGUCGUAACAAGGUAGCCGUACCGGAAGGUGCGGCUGGAUCACCUCCU